Molecule: ribosomal RNA, 253 nt
Filed under: uncultured bacterium
Lineage: Bacteria
Description: partial 16S ribosomal RNA
Rfam family: Bacterial small subunit ribosomal RNA
Source: RNAcentral
UACGUAGGGUGCAAGCGUUGUCCGGCAUUAUUGGGCGUAAAGAGCUCGUAGGCGGUUUGUCGCGUCUGCUGUGAAAACUCGGGGCUUAACUCCGGGCCUGCAGUGGGUACGGGCAGACUAGAGUGCGGUAGGGGAGACUGGAAUUCCUGGUGUAGCGGUGAAAUGCGCAGAUAUCAGGAGGAACACCGGUGGCGAAGGCGGGUCUCUGGGCCGUAACUGACGCUGAGGAGCGAAAGCGUGGGGAGCGAACAGG